Long non-coding RNA from Oncorhynchus gorbuscha (pink salmon), 620 nucleotides. RefSeq lists it as uncharacterized. NCBI's taxonomy places the organism in Eukaryota, Metazoa, Chordata, Actinopteri, Salmoniformes, Salmonidae. The record is from RefSeq and is a predicted model, not a curated record. The transcript is spliced from 3 exons.
AAACAGACUUCCUCUCUGGGCGGAAUGCAACAGAGUCCGCUGCUACCAUAAACCAUUCUUGAAUGCCAAUAUUGAACGAGUAUAGAAAUAAACGUGGUAGCAAUGUAAAACUGGGAUCCUCCUCUUUAAAAAAAACAACAAAGGCCAAAAGUUAUUUCAAACGUGUUCUCCUGCUGUUUGCAUUAAGAAUAGUUGUGAAAUGACUGCUUGAACACGUGUAUUUCCUUUGGCUCUAGCAUUAAAUGCGUCUCAAGAGGAAUAUUUAUCUCGCAUAGCACACACAAAAGCCGACUAGGUGAUUUCCCAGCCAAACAUGACGAACAAACGGAUCUAUUUUGCCUACAAAAAUCAUAUUUCGGGAACAAAUGAACUUUGGCUAUCUACCUGGGAGUCUCGUGCGUGAAAACAUCCAAAGCUCAUCAAAGACCUGAGCCCUAGGACCAUGCCUCAGGACUACUUGGCCUGAUGACUUCUUGCUGUCUCCAGUUCACCUGGUCGUGCUGCUGCUCCAGGUUCAACUAUUCUGCCUGUGGCUAUGAAACCCUGACCUUUUCACCGGACAUGCCACCUUGUCCCAGACCUGCUGUUUUCAACUCUCUAGAGGCAGCAGGAGCUGUAAA